UGUGACUCGCUCCUGCGUUCCCACGCCAA
RNAcentral lists this small RNA (29 nucleotides) under Bombyx mori (domestic silkworm). Its description in RNAcentral is "ovarian small RNA-35877". The record is from RNAcentral. Lineage: Eukaryota; Metazoa; Arthropoda; Insecta; Lepidoptera; Bombycidae.